CCUUCCUACGGGGGGCAGCAGUAGGGAAUCUUCCACAAUGGACGAAAGUCUGAUGGAGCAACGCCGCGUGAGUGAAGAAGGGUCUCGGCUCGUAAAGCUCUGUUGGUAGUGAAGAAAGAUAGAGGUAGUAACUGGCCUUUAUUUGACGGUAAUUACUUAGAAAGGCACGGCUAAAUACGUGCCAGCAGCCGCGGUAAUAAGUAGGGGGGAAGCGUUGUCCGGAUUUAUUGGGGGUAAA
Molecule: ribosomal RNA, 238 nt
Filed under: uncultured bacterium
Lineage: Bacteria
Description: partial 16S ribosomal RNA
Rfam family: Bacterial small subunit ribosomal RNA
Source: RNAcentral